Long non-coding RNA from Pezoporus flaviventris, 420 nucleotides. RefSeq lists it as uncharacterized. The record is from RefSeq and is a predicted model, not a curated record. The transcript is spliced from 3 exons. Lineage: Eukaryota; Metazoa; Chordata; Aves; Psittaciformes; Psittacidae.
UGUGCCACAGGGUGGCGAAGGAAAAGGCUCUGGGAAAUGUAGAUGACUCAAUCAUUUUGUGGAUGCCUAAUGUAGAUGACUUCAUCCCCCAAAAUAACUGAACCCAGAAGAAACCUUUAGCAAGCAAAGAAGGCUCCUGAAUUCAGUGAUUACAAGACAAAUGGCAUUACAUUUGACAGAUUCCUUGUGUGUCCUGUGCCUUUCCCUGGCAGCAAGGCAAGGCCAAAGGAUCAGAAAAAGGUACAUUUUAAGGAAGCACAGAACUGCAUCUGGCAGACCACACCAGAAGAGACUGCACUGAGGAAAGCAAAGCACUGCAGUGCACAUUGCUCAUCAGCAUGGACUGGCCAGCAAAUCUAACCACACAGUGCACUGCAAGGAUGAAACGGAACAAAGUUCAAUGGAAAGGAUAAACAGGAA